UGAGGAAUAUUGCGCAAUGGAGGAAACUCUGACGCAGCAACGCCGUGUGGGGGAUGAAGUUCUAUGGAGCGUAAACCCCUGUAAGCAGGGACGAAAGUUUCGUAGUCGAACAGGCUGCGGGAUUGACGGUACCUGCAGAGUAAGCUCCGGCUAACUCCGUGCCAGCAGCCGCGGUAAUACGGGGGGAGCGAGCGUUGUCCGGAAUUACUGGGCGUAAAGGGCGUGUAGGCGGUUUAAUAAGUCAGAUGUUAAAGCUCCCGGCUCAACCGGGGAACGUCAUUUGAGACUGUUAGGCUUGAGUGCGAGAGAGGGUAGUGGAAUUCCCAGUGUAGCGGUGAAAUGCGUAGAUAUUGGGAAGAACACCAGUAGCGAAGGCGGCUACCUGGCUCGCAACUGACGCUAAGGCGCGAAAGCGUGGGGAGCAAACAGG
Molecule: ribosomal RNA, 430 nt
Filed under: uncultured Caldithrix sp.
Lineage: Bacteria; Pseudomonadati; Calditrichota; Calditrichia; Calditrichales; Calditrichaceae
Description: bacterial SSU rRNA
Rfam family: Bacterial small subunit ribosomal RNA
Source: RNAcentral